GACUGGAUCAAUAUCCCAAAACCUAACAGAUACAAGAAACACAUUAGACAUAGUCCCUGUCCACCCUUCCAUUCCUUAAAUCAUUACAAACAAAAAAAAGGCAAAGGGAAAUGCAUAAACUUAUCUAAUGUAGAGCAAUAUCUGAGAAAAAUAGAUAAAUAUCAUCUAAGCAUGGCUGAACAAAGAAAUAAAUCUUGUUGAAUAUAUUAGUGUCAGGAAAAUCUGAAGUUCACAAACCAUUAAAUGCAUGAGUGAUACAAAGCACCAGUUAAACUAGAAGAUGCUGCACCUCCCAUUUUAAGGUUGGCCACUUGACCUAUGGCAUUAAAUGAUUUAUUCCAUUCCAUUUAAUUGGAAGUACAAUCUCACUCCAUCCCCAGAAGAGUACACACUUUUACAGUUAUUUCCAAAAUAAAUUGAUUUACUUUUCAGGUUUAUACACUACUCAUUCAUGUAAUCAGUAUUUACUUUAGGAAACAGCAACGCUCUUUAGAUGCAAAAUGCUGAUAAUGCAGAAUUAUGCAUUAUCAGCACUAAACUAAAACAACACACUUCAUUAAAGGUUAGAAUCAUAUUAAUGAUCAAUGCCAUAAAAACUUUUUUAAUGGUUGAAACAUCAUUGCUUAAGAGAACACAACAUUAUAAUGGCCAUGCUGAUCUGAAAUAGACCAUGAGU
This 676-nucleotide unclassified non-coding RNA is filed under the name Hevea brasiliensis (rubber tree). The record is from RNAcentral. Lineage: Eukaryota; Viridiplantae; Streptophyta; Magnoliopsida; Malpighiales; Euphorbiaceae.